GGUCUGCCACAGAGUGACAAAACUUUUUCUUAGUCGAAUGCUUCUGGAAAGGGCAACCGUAGAAGGUGAUAGUCCCGUAGACGAAAAGGAAAAGUCUCUGCUUGUGUUCUUGAGUACCACGGGACACGUGGAAUCCUGUGGGAAGCUGGGGGGACCACCCUCCAAGGCUAAAUACUCCUGAUGACCGAUAGUGAACCAGUACCGUGAGGGAAAGGUGAAAAGNNNNNNNNNNNNNNNNNNACCCCGGGAGGGGAGUGAAAUAGAAUCUGAAACCGUGUGCUUACAAGCAGUCAGAGGUCCGAUUUAUCGGACUGAUGGCGUGCCUAUUGAAGAAUGAGCCGGCGAGUUAAUCUGUGUGGCUAGGUUAAGCAACUAAGUUGCGGAGCCGAAGCGAAAGCGAGUCUGAAUAGGGCGAGGCCCAGUUUACUGAGCAGGUCGCAUGGAUCAGACCCGAAACCGGGUGAUCUAUCCAUGGCCAGAGUGAAGCUCAAGUAAAAUUGAGUGGAGGCUCGAACUUGUGAGUUAGGCAAAACUUUAGGAUGAGCUGUGGAUAGUGCAGGUGAAAUGCCAAACGAACCCGGAAAUAGCUGGUUCUCCCCGAAAUGCAUUUAGGUGCAGCCUCAGGAAGUAAUUUACGGAGGUAGAGCUCUGGAUGAGCCAGGGGCCGUGAGGUUACCGAACUCAACCAAACUGCGAAUGCCGUAGGUAUAAUCCUGGGAGUGAGACUGUGGGGGAUAAGCUCCAUAGUCGAGAGGGAAACAGCCCAGACCAUCAGCUAAGGUCCCUAAGAGCAGGCUAAGUGGGAAAGGAAGUUGUGUCGCACAAACAGCCAGGAGGUUGGCUCAGAAGCAGCCAUCCUUUAAAGAGUGCGUAACAGCUCACUGGUCGAGUGGUACUGCGCCGAUAAUUUAACGGGGCUCAAGUCUGCUACCGAAGCUAUGGUAUCGCCUGCAAAGGCGAUAGGUAGGGGAGCGUUGUCAUGGCUGCGAAGCAGUGGUGUAAGCCAUUGUGGAGCAAUGACAAGUGAGAAUGUCGGCAUGAGUAGCGUGAAGGCAUGUGAAAAUCAUGCCCACCGUAAACCUAAGGUUUCCUACGGAACGUUUAUCGGCGUAGGGUUAGUCAGGCCUAAGCUGAACCCUGAUGGGGUAAGCGAUGGAUAGCAGGUUAAUAUUCCUGCACCGCUUAACUUUUGUUUUAAGGCAAAGGGGGGACACAGGAAGGUAGGUUGAGCAUGCCUAUUGGACAUGGUGUGUUUCCAACUCGAGGUGCAUCGGGGCAGGCAAAUCCACCCUGAUAUUAAGCUGAGGGGAGGGGGAAUUUGAGGGGCAACCCGAUAAAACUCAACUGAGCCUAUACUGUCAAGAAAAGCCUCGUUGCUAAAAAUUUGAGCGCCCGUACCGCAAACCGACACUGGUAGGUGGGGAUAAAAGUCCCAAGGUGAUCGAGAGAACCCUCGUUAAGGAACUCGGCAAUCUAACCCCGUAACUUCGGGAGAAGGGGGCCCACUUGUAAUAAUAGGGGGGCACAAAAUUGGCCCAGGCGACUGUUUAACAAAAACAUAGGUCUCUGCUAAAGCGAAAGCUGAAAUAUAGAGGCUGAUACCUGCCCGGUGCCAGAAGGUUAAGGGGAGAGGUUAGGAUGGUAACAUUCGAAGCUUUGAACCGAAGCCCUGGUGAACGGCGGCCGUAACUAUAACGGUCCUAAGGUAGCGAAAUCCCUUGUCGGGUAAGUUCNNAUCUGGGCGCUGUCUCAACGAGGGACUCGGUGAAAUUGAAAUGGGGGUGAAGAUGCCCUCUACCCGCGACAGGACAAAAAGACCCUAGCAGCUUUACUAUAGCUUGGCACUGAGCUUAGGCUGGGCAUGUGUAGGAUAGGUGGGAGGCUGUGAAGCUGGGGCGUCAGCCUCGGUGGAGCCAACGGUGAAAUACCACUCUUGCUUAGUUUUGGUUCUAACCCACCUUAGGGUGGGGACAAUGUCUGGUGGGUAGUUUGACUGGGGCGGUUGCCUCCUAAAAGGUAACGGAGGCGUCCAAAGGUUCCCUCAGCACGAAUGGAAACCGUGUGUAGAGUGCAUUGGCAUAAGGGAGCUUGACUGUGAGACCUACAAGUCGAGCAGGGACGAAAGUCGGGCAAAGUGAUCCUACGGUACUGUGUGGAAGGGCCGUGGCUUAUCGGAUAAAAGCUACGCUAGGGAUAACAGGCUUAUCUUGCCCAAGAGUUCACAUCGACGGCAAGGUUUGGCACCUCGAUGUCGGCUNNAGCGGCACGCGAGCUGGGUUCAGACCGUCGUGAGACAGGUCGGUCUCUAUCCGUCGUGGGCGCCGGAGAUUUGAGGGGAGCUCUCCCUAGUACGAGAGGACCGGGAGGGACAGACCUCUGGUGUGCCAGUUGUUCCGCCAGGAGCAUUGCUGGGUAGCUAUGUCUGGC
Molecule: ribosomal RNA, 2427 nt
Filed under: Gammaproteobacteria bacterium
Lineage: Bacteria; Pseudomonadati; Pseudomonadota; Gammaproteobacteria
Also listed under: 1 other name
Description: partial 23S ribosomal RNA
Rfam family: Bacterial large subunit ribosomal RNA
Source: RNAcentral